AGGAUUCCCCUAGUAGCGGCGAGCGAACCGGGAAGAGCCCAGCUUGAAAAUCGCGUCGCCUUCGGGCGGCGCGAGUUGUAAUCUGGAGAAGCGUCCUCCGCGGCGGACCGGUCCCAAGUUCCCUGGAAAGGGACGUCGGAGAGGGUGAGAACCCCGUCGGGACCGGACCCUGCCGCCCCACGAGGCGCUGUCGACGAGUCGGGCUGUUUGGGAAUGCAGCCCUAAGUGGGAGGUAAAUUCCUUCCAAGGCUAAAUACGGGCGGGAGACCGAUAGCGAACAAGUACCGCGAGGGAAAGAUGAAAAGGACUUUGAAAAGAGAGUUAAAGAGUGCUUGAAAUUGCUGGGAGGGAAGCGAAUGGAGGCCUCGGGCGCGCCCCGGUCGGAUGCGGAACGGCGUCAAGCUGGUCCGCCGCUCGACGCGGGGCGCCGGUCAGCGUGGGCUGUCGCGGCGGGACAAAAGUCGGCCUUCAGGGGCCGGCCGGAAUGCCGUCGGGGCGGCCGAGGGACCGAAGCGCGCGCCCUCGUGGCGGGCCCCCUUCGCGGGGGGCACCUGCGCGCUCGGGACGCUGGCGGAGUGGGCUUUUCAUCCGACCCGUCUUGAAACACGGACCAAGGAGUCUAACAUGCAUGCGAGCCGGUGGGCGGCAAACCCACGUUUGAGGCGCAAAGAAAUUGACAGGUGUGAUCCCCUUCGCCGGGGUGCAACAUCGACCGACCAUGAUCUUCUGUGAAAGGUUCGAGUGAGAGCAUGCCUGAUGGGACCCGAAAGAUGGUGAACUAUGCCUGAGCAGGGCGAAGUCAGAGGAAACUCUGGUGGAGGCUCGUAGCGAUACUGACGUGCAAAUCGUUCGUCAGACUUGGGUAUAGGGGCGAAAGACUAAUCGAACCAUCUAGUAGCUGGUUCCCUCCGAAGUUUCCCUCAGGAUAGCUGGAGCACGCGAGAAGUUUUAUCGGGUAAAGCGAAUGAUUAGAGGCAUCGGGGGUGAAACACCCUCGACCUAUUCUCAAACUUUAAAUAGGUAAGACGCCGGGGUUGCUUGAGUGAACCCCCGG
This 1054-nucleotide ribosomal RNA is filed under the name Riella helicophylla. RNAcentral's name for it is "partial 26S large subunit ribosomal RNA". It matches the Rfam family "Eukaryotic large subunit ribosomal RNA", at positions 71 to 1105 of the family's 3401-position model. Lineage: Eukaryota; Viridiplantae; Streptophyta; Marchantiopsida; Sphaerocarpales; Riellaceae. The record is from RNAcentral.